UCCCGUGUGGCUCAGUUGGUAGAGCAUGGUGUUUGCAACGCCAGGGUUGUGCGUUCGAUUCCCACGGGGG
Molecule: non-coding RNA, 70 nt
Organism: Salmo salar (Atlantic salmon)
Lineage: Eukaryota; Metazoa; Chordata; Actinopteri; Salmoniformes; Salmonidae
Source: Rfam